CGCUCAGUUCCAUAACUCUGUUUUAUUUCAGGCUCUAUUCCGACGACGGAACGACUCAUUCGUAUCACCACAUUCCCGUUCUUCCUCCUAUCAGAGGCAUCUUCCUAUGAUUUUAUCUUUGAAACCAACGAAUUAAUUGAAGUUCUUCAGGCUAAAAAUGGUUAUGGAGCAUUCUCGUUGGCCAUAUCCAGUGAAUUGUCGCAAUUCUCGUGGGGAAGCUAACAGAGGAGAGGACGGAGUCGACAACAGAGAGUCGUUCGUCGUCAUCGGCAGCAGAGAAUUUCGUGGCGGCGUUGUUAAUGUUGAGACACGAGAGUCUUCGAUUCAAGAAGAUAGCUAAGGAGGCAAGUGCAGUGGAAGACCUCGUAUCCUUUCUCGUGCUUGAACGGAACAAAUUCCUUUUUUACUCUUAACUUCUUUUCUAAUCCGUCGAGUAGUUCCACAAUCGAAACCCCCCAAGGUCAAUCGAAACACAAUUGAUUUAGUUUGACGAAUUUCCUUAAUUUUGUUGUCUGUGUGAAUCAGAAGCAACAUGAAAUGGAUUGAAGAGAGCGCUUACCCACAUUUCACCAGAGCUUCAAGGCAUAGGAAAAGCAGGGAGCAUUAUCGGUGAAGUGGUGAAAUUACUAAGCAUAUAAGUUCUGAGACGAAAGCAAACAUGCGGAUCAUAUAAGAUCUGAGACGAAAGCAAGCAUUAGAAAUAUGUAUAUACAUAGUACUACAAGGUAAUCCAAGGUAGUUUAAGGUAGUUCUAGCAGUGCUAGUAAUCGACAAUACAUAUUUAUAUAAAUAAAAUAUAAUAUAAAAUUUUCAAUUUAUAUAAAAUAAUAUAUAUCCUUUCCCGUUUAAUGAAGAAUGCAAUUUUGAUAUUUUUACAGAUUAAAAAUGAUUUAAAUGCAUUCAUGUUCUUAAUAAAUAAAUCUAUUUAAUCAAAAGUUUUUAAGACGAAUAUCAAAGCAUAUUUACAUUAAUAUUAAAUUCAAAAUAGAUAUAACUAAAUUAGGAUUUUUAAAUGAUAAUCUUUACAUAAGAAAAAGUGUCUUAUUUCUUUAUGAAACAAAGAGAAUAUUAUUUAUAAGUUAUACAGAUUGUUAAAUUCAAUUAUAAAUAUAAAAUAAUAAAAUAUAUUAAACAUCUUAUUUUAAAUUUUAAGGCUAUAUAAAAGAGAUAAAACUUUAAUUAAGGAAAAUAAUUUGUAUACACAGUUUCUUAAAAAUAUUUUUGAAAUUAAUUAUUGAUUAAAAUACUAUUGAAAUAUAUGAUCUAUUGAAUUUGUAAUUUUGAAAAUAUUUUUAUAACCUAAAUUAAUAUAAAUAUUUUAUUAAAUUAUGUUUGAAAUUUUUGAUUAACAUAUUAUUAAAAUACACAUUUUAUUAAAUUUGUAUUUUUGAAAUAA
This is a long non-coding RNA of Brassica napus (rape), 1396 nucleotides long. RefSeq lists it as uncharacterized. The record is from RefSeq and is a predicted model, not a curated record. The transcript is spliced from 3 exons. Lineage: Eukaryota; Viridiplantae; Streptophyta; Magnoliopsida; Brassicales; Brassicaceae.